CGCCGCCACGGGAAUACGUAGGUGGCAAGCGUUGUCCGGAAUUAUUGGGCGUAAAGGGCUCGCAGGCGGUUUCUUAAGUCUGAUGUGAAAGCCCCCGGCUCAACCGGGGAGGGUCAUUGGAAACUGGGAAGCUUGAGUGCAGAAGAGGAGAGUGGAAUUCCACGUGUAGCGGUGAAAUGCGUAGAGAUGUGGAGGAACACCAAUGGCGAAGGCGACUCUCUGGUCUGUAACUGACGCUGAGGAGCGAAAGCGUGGGGAGCGAACAGGAUUAGAUACCCCUGUAGUCCCUGUCUCUUAUACA
This 301-nucleotide ribosomal RNA is filed under the name uncultured bacterium. RNAcentral's name for it is "partial 16S ribosomal RNA". It matches the Rfam family "Bacterial small subunit ribosomal RNA", at positions 510 to 808 of the family's 1533-position model. The record is from RNAcentral.